RNAcentral lists this ribosomal RNA (253 nucleotides) under uncultured bacterium. Its description in RNAcentral is "partial 16S ribosomal RNA". It matches the Rfam family "Bacterial small subunit ribosomal RNA", at positions 524 to 776 of the family's 1533-position model. The record is from RNAcentral.
UACGUAGGGUGCAAGCGUUAAUCGGAAUUACUGGGCGUAAAGGGCGCGUAGGCGGCCUGCUAAGUCGGACGUGAAAUCCCUCGGCUCAACCGAGGAACUGCGUCCGAUACUGGUGGGCUUGAAUCCGGGAGAGGGAUGUGGAAUUCCAGGUGUAGCGGUGAAAUGCGUAGAUAUCUGGAGGAACACCGGUGGCGAAGGCGGCAUCCUGGACCGGUAUUGACGCUGAGGCGCGAAAGCUAGGGGAGCAAACGGG